UUACUGCUAAAUAACCGAUAUAUAUCACCUCUUUGUUUCCUCAUCAGGCUGAUACAGUUUCAUCUGAAGAAAUAAAAAGAUAUAUCAAACAAGAGGUUCUUAAGGUUUUCGAAGAGAGGAUGGCUCAGUUUGUAUCCCAGCUGAAAUUGCCUGCAGCAAUGCUUGCUUCCCAAGCUCAUGGAAAACCAGGGCCACCAGGAAAAGAUGGUUUACCAGGGCCUCCAGGAAAAGAUGGUUUACCAGGGCCACCAGGAGAACGUGGACUUCAAGGUUAUAGAGGACAGAAAGGGGAAAGAGGUGAGCCUGGAAUUGGACUGCCUGGUAAUCCUGGACCACCUGGCCCUUCAGCUACGGGCCUGCCAGGCCCCCCGGGAACUCCAGGCUCACCCGGACCGCAGGGGCCACCCGGACCUCAUGGAAGAUGCAAUCCAGCAGAUUGCUAUUACCACGUAUCACAGACUCGGUCACGCACCAGUGGGAAAUAAAUCCCUCUCCAAGAGACGGUUGGGUUCACAGCCACUUUUCACUUCUCUCAAUAAGUUAAUUUAA
RNAcentral lists this long non-coding RNA (549 nucleotides) under Dromaius novaehollandiae (emu). RNAcentral's name for it is "lncRNA (ENSDNVG00000004276.1)". Lineage: Eukaryota; Metazoa; Chordata; Aves; Casuariiformes; Dromaiidae. The record is from RNAcentral.